This 764-nucleotide ribosomal RNA is filed under the name Ceraceosorus guamensis. RNAcentral describes it as "LSU rRNA". It matches the Rfam family "Eukaryotic large subunit ribosomal RNA", at positions 133 to 883 of the family's 3401-position model. The record is from RNAcentral. Lineage: Eukaryota; Fungi; Basidiomycota; Exobasidiomycetes; Ceraceosorales; Ceraceosoraceae.
GGCGUCCGCGUUGUAAGCUCGAGAGCUGUAGUCCGUGCCGGACCGCGUACAAGUCCCUUGGAAUGGGGCAUCGUAGAGGGUGAGAAUCCCGUACUUGACGCGGAAGCCGGUGCUUUGUGAUGCGGCCUCGACGAGUCGAGUUGUUUGGGAAUGCAGCUCCAAAUGGGUGGUAAAUUCCAUCUAAAGCUAAAUAUUGGGGAGAGACCGAUAGCGAACAAGUACCGUGAGGGAAAGAUGAAAAGCACUUCGUUAGGAGGGUUAAACAGUAUGUGAAAUUGUCAGCGCGGAAGGUUACGUCGUCAGUCAUGCUUUGUGGGAUUCAGCCUCGCCUUGUGCUUGGUGUACUUCCUGCAGUUUGGCAGGUCAGCAUCGAUUUUGUGGGCCGGAUAAGGGCGUYGGGAAUGUGAUGCACGUUUUACGACGGCGCAUGUUUAUAGCCCGACGCUGGAUACGGCCCGUGGGAUCGAGGAACGCAGUCUCUCGCUUACACAAUCGUCGAGACUUUGGAUGCUGGCGUAAUGGCGACGUGACACCCGUCUUGAAACACGGACCAAGGAGUCUAGGACAUGUGCGAGUCUUUGGGUGGCAAACCCGUGGGCGCAAUGAAAGUGAAUGGAGGUGGGAUCCGCAAGGAGCACCAUCGACCGAUCCGGAAGAAUUUCGGAAGGAUUUGAGUAAGAGCACGUGUCCUGGGACCCGAAAGAUGGUGAACUAUGCCUGAAUAGGGCGAAGCCAGAGGAAACUCUGGUGGAGGCUCGUAGCGG